GGGGGUAUAGCUUAGUGGUAGAGUGCAUGCUUAGCAUGCAUGAGGUCCUGGGUUCAAUCCCCAGUACCUCUA
This 72-nucleotide transfer RNA is filed under the name Vicugna pacos (alpaca). Its description in RNAcentral is "tRNA-Ala (AGC) (tRNA-Ala-AGC-211-1)". It matches the Rfam family "tRNA". From Rfam's summary of the family: Transfer RNA (tRNA) molecules are approximately 80 nucleotides in length. Their secondary structure includes four short double-helical elements and three loops (D, anti-codon, and T loops). Lineage: Eukaryota; Metazoa; Chordata; Mammalia; Artiodactyla; Camelidae. The record is from Rfam by way of RNAcentral.